AGUCGAGUUGUUUGGGAAUGCAGCUCAAAAUGGGUGGUGAGUUCCAUCUAAGGCUAAAUAUUGGCGAGAGACCGAUAGCGAACAAGUACCGUGAGGGAAAGAUGAAAAGCACUUUGGAAAGAGAGUUAAACAGUACGUGAAAUUGUUGAAAGGGAAACGAUUGAAGUCAGUCGUGUCCAAGGGGUUCAGCCGGUUCUGCCGGUGUAUUCCUCUUGGACGGGUCAACAUC
RNAcentral lists this ribosomal RNA (229 nucleotides) under Kockovaella thailandica. Its description in RNAcentral is "partial large subunit ribosomal RNA". It matches the Rfam family "Eukaryotic large subunit ribosomal RNA", at positions 263 to 503 of the family's 3401-position model. Lineage: Eukaryota; Fungi; Basidiomycota; Tremellomycetes; Tremellales; Cuniculitremaceae. The record is from RNAcentral.